UCCCUCUUUUGUCAAAGACAUCAAGAUCACAGUCGAAAGAACAUGAUUUCCAGCAUGUACAAUGAUAGACUAGCGUUCUCCUCUGCUUUGAUGCAUGUUUGGUUUACACACUAAUACAGUUUCCCAUCCUAACCUCGAACUCUCUUGACUACUUACAAGGUUCUCUCUACCUAGAGCUCUUAAUCUAUCAUUACUAUUGGCAUGUGAUUCAAGUUGGUUUCUCUAUUAUGUUAAACAUGGGCUAUUUUGAACAUUUCCAAAAGACACUCUAUAACU
RNAcentral lists this long non-coding RNA (276 nucleotides) under Brassica napus (rape). Its description in RNAcentral is "long non-coding RNA (BNAP_LNC001560)". The record is from RNAcentral. Lineage: Eukaryota; Viridiplantae; Streptophyta; Magnoliopsida; Brassicales; Brassicaceae.